GUGGACUGCUACAUGACGUCAUGCUAUGUGGACUGCUAGGUCAUGCUAUGUGGACUGCUACAUGACGUCAUGCUAUGUGGACGGCUCCUACUGCUACAUGACGUCAUGCUAUGUGGACUGCUACAUGACGUCAUGCUAUGUGGACGGCUCCUACUGCUACAUGACGUCAUGCUAUGUGGACUGCUACAUGACGUCAUGCUAUGUGGACUGCUCCUACUGCUACAUGAUGUCAUGCUAUGUGGACUGCUCCUACUGCUACAUGACGUCAUGCUAUGUGGACUGCUCCUACUGCUACAUGACGUCAUGCUAGGUGGACUGCUCCUACUGCUACAUGACGUCAUGCUAUGUGGACUGCUCCUACUGCUACAUGACGUCAUGCUAGGUGGACUGCUCCUACUGCUACAUGACGUCAUGCUAUGUGGACUGCUCCUACUGCUACAUGACGUCAUGCUAUGUGGACUGCUCCUACUGCUACAUGACGUCAUGCUAUGUGGACUGCUCCUACUGCUACAUGACGUCAUGCUAUGUGGACUGCUCCUACUGCUACAUGACGUCAUGCUAUGUGGACUGCUCCUACUGCUACAUGACGUCAUGCUAGGUGGACUGCUCCUACUGCUACAUGACGUCAUGCUAGGUGGACUGCUCCUACUGCUACAUGACGUCAUGCUAUGUGGACUGCUACAUGUACAAAGAGUAUCUACUAGUACUACUACAUUAAAUGUGCAUGGACUGAUCCUACUACAUUUGUACUACUACAUGUACCAACAGUCCAACAGUAUCUCAUUCGACAAAAUAUCACAGCCAAGACUGCAGCUAUGCUAUAGUUUCCCCAGUGAAAUUUAAGCAAAUUAAUUUUCUCGUUGAAUUUUCCAAAUGUAUAUAAUUAUUUAUUAUAAUUGUAGGCUACUACUUCACUACAGUUCAUGUUUUGUAUUUCCUUAAGUUUACUGUGUACCGGUACUGGGUGUGUUGUCAUGACACACUGCUGUUUGCUGUGGCUGUUGUCAUGACACACUGCUGUUUGCUGUGGCUGUUGUCAUGACACACUGCUGUUUGCUGUGGCUGUUGUUGUCAUAGUUACCGGAGCUGGUGGGUUGUGAGUGCCCCCCCCCCCCCCCCCCCCCCACUCCGCCUGUCGUACCCCCGGCCGUGGUGUACAUGAGGAAGUGGUUUGAUCUUCUGUCGCUGUUGUGUGUUCUCGCUCACUCUCUCAUUCCUUCAUUAAAACACGCGUUGAUCUUCUGUCGCUGUUGUGUGUUCUCGCUCACUCUCUCAUUCCUUCAUUAAAACACGCGUUGAUCUUCACU
Aplysia californica (California sea hare) is the source of this 1307-nucleotide long non-coding RNA. RefSeq lists it as uncharacterized. NCBI's taxonomy places the organism in Eukaryota, Metazoa, Mollusca, Gastropoda, Aplysiida, Aplysiidae. The transcript is spliced from 2 exons. The record is from RefSeq and is a predicted model, not a curated record.